Zea mays is the source of this 3399-nucleotide RNA transcript. It is a transcript of the gene named DNA mismatch repair protein PMS1, with no coding region annotated. The transcript has 12 exons. The record is from RefSeq and is a predicted model, not a curated record. NCBI's taxonomy places the organism in Eukaryota, Viridiplantae, Streptophyta, Magnoliopsida, Poales, Poaceae.
ACGGGUUCAAAGUUCAAACUCACAAAAGAGGGCGACGCCGAAAACGGUUCUUCUCCAGUCUCCACCGGAGGCGGGAGGCGUAGGGUUUAGGCGCGGAAUGGCGGGAGGAGGAGGGGGGCGCGGCGAAUCCUCGCCGGCGAUCAAGCCAAUUAGUAAGGCGGUAGUGCACCGCAUCUGCUCUGGCCAGGUCAUCUUCGACCUUUCCUCCGCCGUCAAGGAGCUCGUCGAGAACAGCCUCGACGCUGGCGCUACCUCCGUCGAGGUCAGCCUCAAGGCCUACGGCGAGGAGUGGUUCAAGGUCGCCGACAACGGAUGCGGUAUAUCUCCCUCCAACUUCCGGGCUCUUGCUCUUAAGCACCACACGUCCAAGAUAUCAGAUUUCUCUGACCUUGGAUCCCUGGUUACCUUCGGGUUCCGGGGCGAAGCUCUGAGCUCGCUCUGCGCGCUUGGGAAACUGACGGUUGAGACGAGGAGCAAGGAUGAGCUAGUUGGGACGCAUUUGGAGUUUGAGCACUCUGGCGUGGUGGUUAGUGAAAGGAAGACCGCACGGCAGGUUGGAACCACGGUGACAGUAGAAAAGUUGUUCUCCACCUUGCCGGUCCGGAGCAAGGAAUUUAGCAGGAACAUUCGGAAGGAAUACGGGAAAGUGAUCUCGCUGCUGAACGCUUAUGCAUUGAUUGCCAAAGGGGUCAGAUUACUCUGCACUAAUACUGUUGGAAAAAAUUCUAAAAUGGUUGUGCUUAGAACUCAAGGAAGCAGUUCGAUGAAAGACACUAUCAUUACUGUAUUUGGUCCAAACACUUUUAAAUGUCUUGAGCCCUUCAGUGUUACCACCUCGGAUGGCUGCCAGAUAGAGGGCUUUCUUUCAAAACCUGGACCUGGUACUGGUCGCAGUUCAGGAGAUAGACAAUUUUUCUAUGUGAAUGGCAGACCUAUUGAUAUGCCAAAGGUCACAAAACUUGUCAACGAGCUAUACAGAAGCUCAAAUGCCAAACAAUAUCCUGUGGUAAUUCUAGAUUUUCAUAUUCCAACUACAUCCUAUGAUGUGAAUAUUGCACCUGAUAAGAGAAAAGUUUUCUUCUCAUCUGAAAGCAUGAUUCUGCAAUCUUUGCGGGAAACUGUUGAAAACCUGUACUCCCCUCAACAAUGCAGUUUCUCAGUCAAUCACAUCAAAGAUCCUGAAAAGGAAGGGGAUGCUGUUACUGAUAGGCAUAAUGAAGACACAAAUGCAAUCGUAAUGGUGAAUGUUCCAUCUUACUACAACAAUGAUGACAAUGAAGAAACAGACAAUGAGGAUCAGGUUUCUCCAGAGAACCAGAAAUUGCCUUCAGUGGCUAGAGAUGCGAGCCCCCUGUCAGGAGGCACAACCACUCAGGCUGAUAGAUCUGCUUGGCUUCCAUCCUUUGCAUAUGACCAGCCAAAAAGAUCGCCUAAAGAAGGAAGAAGUUUGGUAUUGGGUAGAAAUUGUUUUAGAACUGGGCUUGCUGCAAAGCCAACUCAUUCAAGUACUGUUCAGUCUUCUCUCCUGAACUUUGUAUCACUAAACAAGCGGAAACACGAAGAUGAUUGCACUCUUAUUUCUGAAGCUGCAGUGCUGAGAAGAGAGACAUGCUCUGAACAUAUGAGGAGAUCAAGUUUAGAAGCAAACUUUGUUACACCAAACAAGCAGAACCAUGAGGAUGAUUGCAUUAUUUCUGAGUCUCCAGUGCUGAGAAGUGGGACAUGCUCAGAACUAUACAAGAGGACAAGUUUAGAAGUCAAUUUUCCAUCACCAAAUAAGCAGAAGCAUGAUGACAAUUGCACUCUUAUUUCUGAAAUCCCUGUGUUGAGAAGAAGGACAAAUUCAGAACAAGCGAGAGGAACAAGUUUAGAAGCAAAUUCAGCACCUGAGUUCAAUUUACCUCUGGAAACAAACUCUUUAAAACAGCACUCCUCACAAUAUUUUGGAUCUGUGAGGACAGAUGUUUCACCACAGCAUUCUAAACAACCUAAUAUUGUGACCAUUGGGGCAGGGGUAACAGGUCCAUGUGAUGUUGACACUACAGAAUCUGAUAUGGAUCAACAGUGUGGUCGAUGCCAUUCAGCUUCUGGUGCUCCCAACAAAUAUUCAGAAUCACGACAUCAGAAUGCAUUGGCUGAUAGUCCUUUGCCUGAUGCUCAGGAUUAUGGUGAUGGUGCUGCAGUAUGUUAUGCAUCUGUACAAUAUCCCAUUAUUCAAUUUACGGUUGCCGAGCUUAGGAGAAGAAGAAAGAAUUGUUUUAUGAUAUCUCAUAUAAAUAAAUCAUAUUGUCUCGAGAAAACAACAAGGUGCUAUAAAGCUGCAACACUGGACAUCACUGUACCCUUAGCUGACGAGGCAAAAUCAAACUCAUUAGCUGCAGCCACCAAUGAGUUGGACAGGCUUUUCAGUAAACAUGAUUUUCGAGAAAUGGAGGUUGUUGGACAAUUUAAUCUUGGUUUUAUCAUUGGAAAGCUUGGCCAGGAUCUGUUUAUUGUAGAUCAGCAUGCUUCUGAUGAGAAGUACAACUUUGAGUGCCUUUCGCAGUCUACAAUUUUAAACGUACAGCCUCUUCUCGAGUAAGCCACUGAGACUUGAUCUAUCACCAGAGGAAGAAGUAAUUGUUUCUAUGAACAUGAGCACCAUCAGAAAAAAUGGUUUCGUUUUGGCAGAAGAUUUGCAUGCUUCUCCCGGUAACCAUUAUCUUCUGAAAGCUGUACCUUUCAGCAAAAAUAUUACAUUUGGUGUUCAAGAUGUAAAGGAGUUGAUCUCCAUGCUUGCCGAUAGUCAAGGAGACUGUUCAAUAAUCAGUAGCUACAAGCUGGAUACAGCCGACUCUGUUUGCCCUUCGAGGGUUCGUGCUAUGUUGGCUUCUAGGGCUUGCCGAAUGUCUACUAUGAUAGGCGAUCCACUAACAAAAGCUGAGAUGAAGAAGAUACUUAAAAACAUGGCUGGAUUGAGGUCCCCUUGGAACUGCCCACACGGGAGGCCAACAAUGCGGCACCUAGCUGACCUGCGUACUAUGAAGGCGAAAGAUAUCGCGUUUAAACGCUAGGCCCUGUUGGCUGCCGGCCUGCCGCGCGUGGGGGGCCUACGCUCAACGGAAGGAUGUUUCUAUGCUCUUCCGCUUUAUGUUGAAGAAUACAAGAAGUGCAUAUGUGCCCCGCCCCCGCUUGUAAAUUACGGCGUACGCACGUCGCGCCGCCCCCGCAUGCAAGGUCCAUUUGUUUGUUUGUUUUUUGUCAGAAGGAAUACCUGUGGUGAUAUUUAUGUCCAGUCUCCAGGGAUGUAUGGUGUUCUGUUUUGGCAAAUAGAAGCUUGUUAAUUGACGAGCUCCAGCUAUGUGAUGUAAGGCGAACCAAACAAAUGCAUGUCGGUCGGAUCACUAAUUUCGCUGAAAA